This 228-nucleotide ribosomal RNA is filed under the name uncultured bacterium. RNAcentral's name for it is "partial 16S ribosomal RNA". It matches the Rfam family "Bacterial small subunit ribosomal RNA", at positions 103 to 334 of the family's 1533-position model. The record is from RNAcentral.
CGGGUGAGUAAUGUAUAGGAACUUGCCUAGUAGUGGGGGAUAACGUGUGGAAACGCACGCUAAUACCGCAUACGCUCUACGGAGGAAAGCGGGGGAUCUUCGGACCUCGUGCUACUAGAUGGGCCUAUAUCAGAUUAGCUAGUUGGUAAGGUAAUGGCUUACCAAGGCUACGAUGGGUAGCUGGUCUGAGAGGAUGAUCAGCCACACUGGAACUGAGACACGGUCCAG